UUUUUUUUUAAUUCAAAUUGUAACAUCUAUAACAAUACCAAGCAUAUCAAGUUUCAACAAGCAAAAAACUCUUAAGAGAUUAAAAUCCACAUGCAAUAGCUGUGGUGCUACUCAGAUCCACUUUCAUUUCCAUGAGACUAUAGUGCUAAACGAAAACAGAAAUGAGAAAACAGCAUAACCCAAAACUGCCUUGUAAAUUCUGUUCCAAUGUCAACCUCUCAACGAUUGGCCUUGGCAACUCUUUCAAACUCAUCCUUCUUCUUAAUGGCAUAGCUAUUUGAAGAACCCUUGGUAGCAUUGAUAAGUUCAUCAGCAACGCACUCAGCUAUGGUCUUGAUGUUCCUGAAAGCACUCUCACGUGCACCAGUUGUCAGCAAAUAAAUGGCCUGGUUAACACGGCGAAGUGGAGAAAUAUCAACAGCCUGACGCUUCACAACACCAGCUGAACCAAUACGAGUUGCAUCUUCCCUUGGCCCAUUGUUAAUGACGGCAUCAACAAUGACUUGAAUUGGGUUCUGGUCAGUCAACAAAUGAAUGAUCUCCAUUGCAUGCUUGAUGAUGCGGACAGCCAUUAGCUUCUUUCCAUUGUUCCGUCCAUGCAUCAUAAGAGAGAUUGGCGAGCCUCUCAACAAUUGGGCACUGGGCCUUCCUGAAACGCUUAGCCUGGUAUCUACCAGCUGUGUGUGGCAUAUAAACUGGAUGCUUGGAAACAGUUGCUAUGAUGUAAUCCUCAACAGAGAUGUCAUUGAUCUGGACAUCGACGUAGUUCCAGCGAUUGAAAAGCAUAACAUCACUGUGAAUCUUUUUCUCUGCGGUUGCGUCUACUGGGGCGGCUACUACACCUGCGUCCAUUUUUUCUUCACCUGCUUACGCCUUACGGGAGGAGUCUUUGCUGCUCUGCUACUUGUUUAAUACUACUCUAUGCGCACCAUUUUUUUGCAGAUAUUAUAUUGGUGGAUAAUAAACUCAUCAUGUGGACCAGUAUUAUAAUGACAGGUGCAAUAGGAGUCAAAGCGAUAAUGAUGAAUGAUGUGCAAAGAAGAUAUGAAAAAUACCAACGGGGUCGUCUAUGAAAAUAUCGUGCAUGUUAGUUGGAUAAGAGAAAACAAGUACGAGGCUGAUAAUUAAGGCCAUUGGAAGACACAAUAAUAAAAAGGUCAUUAGUAACUACGAAUAUAGAAGAAAAUCAGUCGAAUUCCUUGAUUGUGCGAGAUUUGUUGUUAUUGCCUCAUCUAUUAUAAAUUGCUCACUUAAUAAGUAAUUAAUGUAAUAAAUAUUAGUAAUGGGUUAGGAAUUAAAUACGAUAAAGAGUUACAAAUUGUAAUACUAUAUAAGCCUCCCUUCCAUAACUUGUACCCCCGUUAAGAGAACUGUAGAUUAUACUAUCAAUUAUCAACAUUCUUGUUGUUCUCUAUUAUUGGAAGAUUUUGUUCAUUCCUACUGAAAGAAAGUAGCAAUCAUUAAUAAGAUUUUUAUUUACUUAUUCUUUUAAUUUUAUUCACCAUUAUUGUUAUUCGUUUUCAUAUCAAUCAUAAUUGAAAGCGGAAUAAAUUGGUUAUUACAAACCUAAAUUAUUAUAUUUAUUUGUUUAGUCUACGAAAACUAUUUUUUUAUUUAAAAAAUUUGUUCUGUUACUGGAAUACUAACAAUCGUUUCACUUUCCAUUUACGCAUUUUCACUUCAGCAAUAAAUUAUGUCUGAAACUGAUCAAAUCACUCAGUAGAGAAUGGACAUGGCAGUAGCAGAAGCUUUAGUUUUGGCAGAAGAAUCAGAUUUUGAAGAGCUUCUCUUAGAAGAGAAAGUGUUUCUAUUCACCACCGAACCUAGGCUAAGAAGCCUACCGCCCCUUCUUCUACUCAUAACCGAAGCUAUUGUAAAAGGAAGGUCGUUGACUAUGAUAGUAUGACGAGAAGGGGCAGAAGAUGCAGAAGGGAUUGAAGAGUUGGAGGCCAUUGUUAAUAAGAAGGAAGGAAGUUAUACGAAGAAGAAGAGGAUCACUAAGAGGAUUUGUGAAAGAAGGUAAAGAGAAAGGAAAGCAGAAGAGGUUUUAGAGGGCUAAUGAUUUCGUAUUUAUAAGGAAAAAAUGUCAUCAUGAUACUGUUUAUCACGAUCCAAAAUUCACCAAGUCGUGAUGGCACCUAACCCAGUGCUAGGUAAGCCUAGCAUAGAAAUAGAUAAUCCAAGUGAAAGAUCAAAACAAGAAGAAUAAUAAUAACUAAAUUCUAUAUAACUUCCCAAGAACUGGUUGUACAAAUCAUGAAUACUAUAAUUUAGAUUUACAAUUUUUUAUAAAGAAUAAAUACAAUAUAUAUUUGAAAUUUACAUAAACAGAAUUUAAAAUUCUAAACUACCAUGAACAAAAUGUGACGAUCCGGCCAGUCGGCUUAAGAAAUUAUGCCUCGAUCCCCUAUUAACUGCUUUUCCCAAGUUUAGUUACGCUAUUUUGAUUUGCCAGGAUGUUCGGUUUUGAGUUUCGGAGAGUUUUGAGACACUUAGCCCCUAAAUGAGAGCUUAAAUGUUGGAAAGUUAACUGUAGCUGGAACAGUGUGAAGACGGCCUCAAAAUGAAAAUUCAAUGGUUUUGUUAGCUUCGUUAGGUGAUUUCGGAUUUAGAGGCAUGAUCAGAUUGUGUUUUGGAGGUCCGUAGCUAAUUUUGUCUUGGAAUGCCUAAAGUUGAAUUUUUGAAGUUUCUGGUUCGAUAGUGAGAUUUUGAUCUGAGGGUCGGAAUAGAAUUCCGGAAGUUGAAGUAGCUCUGUAGUGUUGAAUUUGACGUGUUUGCAAAAUUUUAGGUCAUUCGGACGAGGUUUGAUAGACUUUUUGAUCAAAAACGUAUUUUGAGAAUUUUGGAGUUCUUAGGUUUGAAAUCAAUGGUUAAUUUGAGGUUCCAAUGUUGUUUUAGGUGUUCUAAGGAUUGGUACAAGUUUGGAUUGUUUUUUGUGACUUGUUGGUGCCUUUGGUUGAGGUCCUAGAGGCCUCGGGAUGAUUUCAGAUGGUUGACAGAAGAAUUUUGGGAGUUGGAAGGUUGCAACUUUAGCUGAUAUCUAUCAUAACUGCACCUGCGGUUUGGGUUCCGCAGGCGCGGAGCCGCAUAAGUGGCUAUUACAUCGCAGAAGAGGAAAAAGGGAGGGCCAGCAUAGACCGCAGAAGCGGACGCUCCAUCGAAGAAGCACGUCCGCAGAAGCGGACUCCUUGUCCGCAGAUUCGGAAACCGCCGUAGAAGCGAGAUCUCUUCUCGUACCUGCGAGACCGCAGGUGCAGCUCAUCUUGUUGCAGAUGUGAAACUCGUUGGACAGAAUGUAAAUUUGGAGCUCCGGGAGAGGCGAUAUUCGGGAUAUUUUUAAUAGAAACAACGGGGUAAGUGUUCUUAACUUAAUUUUGGUUAGAUUAUUCGAAUCUAUUACUAGUUUUCGCAUUAAAUCUAUGAAUUUAGUUGGAAGAGUUUCAAAAUCCUCCCAAAUAGAUUUGAGGAUUUGAGGGUCGAAUAUUAUGGGAUUUGGAUAAUUUUGGUAUAGUUAGACUCGUGAGAGGGCGAGGUUUCUGGAAAUAUAAAUUUUACCCGAUUCCAAAACAUGGGCCCGAGGGGCGUUUUGGUCAUUUUUCAUAAUUUCACGUAUUAGUUUAGAAUUUAAUUGUAGAAUUAGUUACUUGAAGUAUUAUUUACAUUAUGAAAUUGAAUUGAAUAGAUUUGGGCCAUUUGGAGUCGAGUACUCGUGGCAAGAAAGUGGUUUCAUAUUGAAUUUUGAGCCGGUUCAAGGUAAGUGACUUGUCUAACCUUGCGUGGGGGACUUUCCCUUUAGGAUUGGUAUUGUGAUAGUUGAAAUGCCUUGUACGUGAGGUGACGAGUGCAUAGUUAUGCUAAUUGUUGAAAAUUCGGUUUUCAUUAAGUAACUUUAAUUGUGUUUUCCCUUUCUAUUUAUUAUACUUGCACUUUUAAACCUGCUGUUAGUUAGAGAAACAUGCCCAAUUGACUUAAAUUGCUUUAUUUGCUUUAACUGCCUUAUUUGAAUUACGUGAAGCAUGUUAGGUUAGAAUUUUCUGGGUUACCUUGUUAUGAAGUUGAGUUUAUUUGAGUAUUCCUUGUGUCUAGGAUACCAAGAGAUCCUCGGGAUAAUAUGAGAUCCCUAUUAUACAUUGAGGAUACCAAGAAAUCCUCGGGAUACCAAGAGAUCCCUAUCAUACAUUGAGGAUACCAAGAGAUCCUCGGGAUACCAAGAGAUCCCUAGCAUAUAUUGAGGAUACCGAGAGAUCAUCGGGAUACCAAGAGAUCCUCGGUAUACCAAGAGAUCCCUGACAUAUAUUGAGGAUACCGAGAGAUACUCGGGAUACCAAGAGAUCCCUAGCAUAUAUUGAGGAUACCGAGAGAUCCUCGGGAUACCAAGAGAUCUCUGACAUAUAUUGAGGGUACUAAGAGAUCCUCGGGAUACUAAGAGAUCCAUGGUUACUUCCUUGUGGUUUGCCUUCAUCUCUGUUUUCCGUUAUUGUACUCUUAUUAUCCUGUAUAGAUUCUUACUGUAGAUUCUCAACUUAUCUACUACUUAUCUUAUCCUGUCAUCUUUAUACUUAUUUAAUUUCUGUAGGGCCCUGACCUUCCUUGUCACUAUCCAACCGAGGUUAGGCUUGGUACUUACUGAGUACCACUACGGUGUGCUCAUGCCCCUUCUGCGUAUGUUUUUCAUGUGCAAAUCUAGGUACCACUACUCAGGCCUACCAUCAUUGAGGAGGCGACUGCUCUAGAGAUUUCCAGGUACAUCUUUCGCGUCUGCAGACCAAGAAGUCCCUUUCUAUUCCUGCUUUUAGUAUUUAUCCCUUCUGUAUUUUUCUUUUCUUAUUAGACAUUCCGGAGUUAGAGCUAUGUAGUGUUUUUCUUAGCUUGUGAUUCGUGGAUUUUCGGGUAUUGGAUUUAUGUAUUAGUAUUAAGAGUUAAACAUGCUGUAAGCCGAGUGACACAUUUAAACACUGUUACUACUUUAUUUCUGUUUUAAAUUGUUUACUUCUGCAAAUUUUGGUUUUUCUUCCGCAAAUUAGGCUUAUCUAGUCGUAGAGACUAGGUGCCAUCACAAUGGUUCACGGAGGGCGGACCGGGGUCGUGACAAUUUGGUGUCAAUGCUCUAGGUUCAUAGGAGUCAUGGAUCACAAGCCGGUUUAUUAGUGUCUCGUUGAUCGGUACGGAGACGUAUGUACUUAUCUACGGGAGGCUAUGUAAUCAUUAUGAAAAGUCCACUUCAUUUGAUUUCCCUGUCGUGCGAGAUUUUUACAUCACAAAUUCUGAACAUUUCUCUUCUAUUCUCUCACUGACGGUGAGGCACACACUACCAGAAAUUAUCAGGCACCCGUGCCCCUGCGAGAGUUGCCAGAAGUCGGGGCCGUGGUAGAGGCCCAGGACGUGCACGCGAUGUAGCAAGAGCACCCAUGUGAGCUAUCACCGAGGAGCCACUAGCAAUUCCAGCCAGAGCCCAGGUACCGAUGCACCUACUGCUACUACUUCUCCAGCCUUUCAAGAGACAUUUGCACAGUUCUGAGCAUGUUUGGUACGUUAGUUCAGGUGGCGCCGAGUUGAAGACAGGUGGGUCCAAGAGAGAAAGGAUAGAAGAGGUUAGGAGAAAAAGUAUGGGGAAGUAAGAAGACCUCAUAAACUGGAGAGACCCAUUGGUCCUUAUUUUUGAGGAAGGGUAUGGCAUGGUAGAAGUUUUGUGGGUCAGCCAACUAAGUUUGCAUCUCAGAUUUCACACAGUGUUCCAGGUGUUCAGGGGUCUUGGGGUACUUGUACCGAAUAGUUCCCACUGCCAUAUCCUCCCAAAGCUUGUUUUGAGUGUGGUGACAUACGCCAUAUGGUGAGGAAUUGCCCCAGACAUGGGAGGAGUGCACCUCCAUAGACUUCUUAGCCGCAGCACACUCUGCUGAGUUCUCAGGCUAUGAUUACAGCUCCAGUUGCUACCCCACCUACUCAGCCAGCUAGAGGUGGAGGUCGGGGAGGUAGAGGUCACCCUCGAGGGGGAGACCAAGCUAGAUACUAUGCCUUUCCUUCCUGUACCGAGGCUGUUACCUCCGAUUCUGUCAUUACAGGUAUUAUAUUGGUUUGCCAUAGAGAUGCAUCAGUUCUAUUUGAUCCAGGCUCUACUUACUCUUAUGUGUCUUCUUAUUUUAAUCCGCAUCUGGGUGUAUCUCUUGAUUCUUUGAGUUCCCCUAUUUAUGUUUCUACUCCUGUGGNNNNNNNNNNNNNNNNNNNNNNNNNUGUGUUUCCAGCUGAUCUUCUAGGCAUGCCGCCUGAUAGAGAUAUUGAUUUUGGUAUUGAUCUGUUGCCGGGCACUCAGCCCAUUUCUACUCCUCCGUAUCGUAUGGCUCCUCCUGAGUUGAAGGAGUUGAAGGAUCAGUUACAGGAAUUGCUUGAUAAGGGUUUUAUUCAGCCCAGUGUAUCACCUUGGGGUGCUCCUAUCUUGUUUGUAAAGAAAAAGGAUGGUUCUAUGCGUAUGUGUAUUGAUUAUCGCUAGUUGAACAAGGUUAUAGUGAAGAUCCGCUAUCCUUUGCCUAGUAUUGAUGAUCUGUUUGACCAGCUUCAGGGCGCACAAGAGUUUUCUAAGAUUGAUUUGCGCUCAGGUUACCAUCAGUUGAAGAUUCGGGAGCCAGAUAUCCCGAAGACUACUUUCAGGACUCGGUAUGGUCAUUACGAGUUCCUUGUCAUGCAUUUGGGCUGACUAAUUCCCCAACAACCUUUAUUCAUUUGAUGCACAGUGUAUUCCGGACAUAUCUUGACUCGUUCGUCAUUGUCUUUAUUGAUGAUAUUCUGGUGUAUUCCCGGAGUUGGGAAGAUCAUGAGAAGCACUUGAGGAUUUUGCUUCAGACUCUGAGAGAGAGAGGAAGUUAUAUGCUAAGUUCUUGAAAUGUGAGUUUUGGUUAGACUCAGUGGCAUUCUUAGGCCACGUGGUAUCGAGUGAGGGUAUUCAGGUGGAUCCGAAGAAGAUAAAGGCCGUGCAGAGUUGGCCCAGACCAUCCUCAGCUACUGAGAUCAGCAGUUUCCUUGGCUUGGCGGGCUACUACCGUCAUUUUGUGAACGCGACUGCCCUCUCGAGAACGUGAAGAGUUUUGGGAUCUAGAGAGUAGUCAGUCUGAUACUCUAUGUGAACGCAAGCCUUGGCUCGUAAACACGAAGGCAAGGGGGAUAAAGCCUUCCCGAAUGUGAAGAAUACAUAGCGAAAGCAUAGGCUUUCUGGCCGCUGUUCUCUGCGAACGCGUCAGGUGCUUCACGAGCGCGAAUAACAACUAACACCCAGGUAUUAAAAUAUCUAAAAGUCGGGAUUUGAACCAUUUUCACCAUUUUCAAGUUACAGCUCGGCCUAGAAGCUAUUUUGAAUAUGUUUUUCAUCCCAACUUCAUUGGUUAGUAAAUUUUAACUUGUGUUAUUACAUUUCUAUGAUCACCCAUUAAUUUUACCUUUAAUCUAGGAUUUUUUAUGGUAGAAAUUGGGGAUUUGGAAAAAUUGUGAUUUAGAACUCGAAUUGAUGUCAAAUUUCAAAAUAAAACAUAUAACCAGGUUUGGGGUGAAUGGGUAAUUGAAUUUUGGUCCGAAAAUCAGGUUUGGACCAAGUGGAUCCGGGGUUAAUUUUUGUUGACUUUUUUCAAAUUCCUCAAAGAUUGAAUCUCUUUCACUCAUGGGUAAAUUCCAAAGCCUAUUUUGAAUUAUUUGACAUGUAUUUGUAUAGAUUUGAUUGGUUUUGAGGCUAAUUCUAAAGGAAAAGUCAUGGUUGAGCAUUGAUUUGGUUGCGGAGUGAGGUAAGUAUCGUGGUUAGCUUUGAUUUGAAGGAUUAGGACUUGUUGGUCUAUUUGCUAUGUGAAUUAUGUGUGGGGGCGGCAUAUAUUUAAGGUGAAAAGUAUAUAUAUAUAUGUUGUUAUCGGGUUAAAGCAUGCGGGUGAAAAUUAUUUUAUUAUAUUAUGUUAUUUCCAUGACUAUGUUUCCCAUGUUGUGGUUUGAUUAUUACUUUUUUUAAUGUUAGCUUUAAUAUCUAUUGAUUAUUUUGAAGUUGUUAGAAUUUUGAAAGUUUAGAUGAAUUAUCAUUACACUAAGGUUGAAGUGGAAUAGCUUCCAACUUUGCUUUGCUAUUUUGAAUUAAUGUUGUUGAUUGGUGAGGAAGAGUGAAAAGCAUAAAAGGUGUUUUCGAGCCUUAUUUGCAUACAAUAUAAUUUAUUUGCGAGAUUGUGAGAAUAAAAUCACAAAGGACGAUACCGUGUAUUUUUUGCUUAGUAUCACUUAUCACAUGAUGUGAGGUUGAGAAUAAUAACAUGAAAGGUAAUGUCGUGCCAUUUUAUUUAUGAUAUUACAUGGUGGGGACGAGAGUAAAAGCACGAAGGGUGAUGCAGUGUCAUGAGUGAUUUCUUUGAUUUAUUUGGAUACCGGUUUGAUAAUUUACGUGGCUGAAUUAUUAUUAUUCCUUUUCGGAAAGAGGUUAUGUACGUGUCGUUCUUUCUGUAUUUCCCUCUUUACAUGUUCCCUCCCAGUUAAUACUUUAAUUGUCUUUCUUGUUAUUAUGUUGCUUUAUAUAUAUAUACUUGUAUAGAUUUUACGUAGGUGUCUUAUUAUAGCGUCGUCACUACCUCGUGUGGGUUAGGCUCGAUACUUACAAAAUACAUUGGUCGGUUGUAAUCAUGAUACACUUCUGCACUUCUUGUACAGAUACUGGUGUUGGUCCCAAUGGCAUUUAGUGGUGUCUGUGCUCGGAUUCAGCUGCAUAAGAGACUUGAGGUAUAGCUGCACGGCAUCUGCAGCCCUGAAGUCCCUUUCUUUACCAUGUUUACUGUUUAUUUAGUUUCAAGCAGUUGUAUAUUUGUUCAGACUUUAUCUAUAGUUGUCACGACCCAAACAUAUGGGCCACGAUUGGUGCCUGAGUCCUACCUGUCAAACACCCCUAAGCAUGCGUCUAGGAUGUGAACCUGUAUAACAUCUGUUGAAUUACGAAGAUAACAUACAUGCAGAAAACCUACCAACAAGGCAUAUGUAUGUAUAUAUGCAGAAUACGGUGGGCGAGCAUGCAAGGCUACAAUAGAUAACUAUACAUUCAAUAACUAAAAGACAACAAGGCCACAUACAAUCCAACUAGACAUAUUGUCUACAGACCUCUAAUGGAAACAUAACUGUACAAAGAUGGAACUAAUCCACGUCAUUCCCUCUAUAUAUAUAUAUAAACAUAUCAUACCAAAAUCAAAAGCAGCUCCGGAUCAAGCAGAGCACACCAACUCUCGCUGAAUAGGGAUCCUAAGAUGGGGGACCAUCGGCUUGCCUACCCGCACCUACGGGCAUGUAACACAGGCCCCAUGAAAUAGGGCCUUAGUACGAAAAAUGUACAGAGUAUGUAAGGCAUGAAAAUUAGUACGUAAAAGACAUAGAUGAAACAUGGAGUAUAGAAACACGUCUUUAAAUCUGAAUAACUUUGUAAAUUCUAAAACAUUUAUAAUGUCAUGCACGUGCGUAUAAAUAUCGUGCCAUGCAUAGGUAUGGGUGUACACUAUAUCAUCAAGCUACUAAGGGCAUCCCAUCAUAUCAUCUCGAACAUUGUGGACAACAUCAUCAACAUAUACCAGCUGAUCAGGUGGUGGUGGGUAUAGAACGCCGUAACCAUUUCCCAUAUCCCAUAUACAUAUAUUUACACAUAUACGCGUAUAUAAUGCCAUCUGGUCAUGAGUCAAUGCACAUGCAUAAAUGGGUAAAAUGCAUGAAAAAUACGUAAAUUCUCAAUAUUCAUUCCGGAUAAACUUUUUUUCAACUGCGUAUUAUUUUAAAACCCAUGAACAGAAGAUAAUAAUAAUUCUUAUGGGGAAUCAAGAAUAUAGACACCCCUAGUAUCUCUAUGAAUAGAGUAAUUUAUAGACACUCUACAUUUGCUCAUUUCUUUAGUAUAAUUUGGACCAUGCCAAAAGAAAGAAGGGAUGACCUUAACAUCCUUGAGUUGAUUCUCUUGACAAUCCUCCAACACGCGUUAAUUGCGACAAAAUACGGAACAAGUUAUAUGAAGAGCCUGAAGCAAUAACAUUGCUUAUGCAGAGACCAUAUUGGUUGAUCCUUUUCCUUAAGCAACUUAUGAAAUGACAUGCUUGAAUGGAACUCUUUAGAACAAAAACGUUACUGAUGUUAUGGAAAGGUUUGCUGGAAUGCUUUCAUAAGAUUGUUAUCUCCCGUGGUUCAUCAAACUCAACUAAUUUUUAAUUUUUUUGUUGCAGCUGAUACAUGUAAAGGAUGAGACAUCAAAUAGAGAAUUGUAUAACUGCAAAUAAGAAGCCAUAAAGAAAACUUCUCGAUUGCAUGAUAUAGUAGAGUUUAAUGUAGGAAUUUCUUCAUUUUUCAACAACAAUCUGAACCGUCUUUUGUAUUAUAGACCUUAGAAAGGUUGAUAUUUGGAAUCUCAAUAUCUGCCCAAAGAUAGUAGUAGUUUCUAGUAAGCUAGGUGGCCCCACAUAGCAAGCUUAGUUUCACUUAAGGUAUGACACAUUUUCUAUCUUCAUGAAUAGUCAUUAGGAAAUUUAAGAGGGCUUGCCACGUGGGGGGUGUAAGUCUUUGUAAUGACCCGACCGGUCGUUUUGAGCUUUAGCGCGUUCUUCGGCGGUUUGAGGCUAUGAGCAGCUUCACUUCAGGAAUUAUGACUUGUACGCAUGGUCGGAAUUAAAUUUCGGGAAGUUCGGAGUUGAUUUGGAAAGAAAAUUCUCAAUUCGGAAGCUUUAAGGUGAAAGAAUAGACUAAGACUGGAAUUUUUAGUAAACGACCUUGUAAUCGGGAUUCGAAGGUUCCAACAUGUUAGUAUGAUGAUUUCGGACUUGGGCUUAUGUCCGGAUCGAGGUUUGGAAGACCCGAAAAUGUUUCGGCACCUAUUGUGGAAGUUGGCAUUUUUGAAAGAAUUUCAUAAGUUUGGGUUGAAGUGCAUUUCAGUGUUAUCGAUGUCCGUUUGGGAUUCCGAGUCUGGGAAUAACUCUAUAUGGUGAUUCUGGUAUUGGAAGCGCGAUCGAAAGUGAAUUCGGAGGUCCGUGGGUCAUUUGGCUAAAGAUAGAAAUUUGAAGGUUUUUGAGGAGUUAGACCGGAAGUGGACUUUUUGAUAUCGGGGUCGGAUUCCGAUUUCGGAAGUUGGAGUAGGUCCGUAAUAUUGAAUAUGACUUGUGUGCAAAAUUUGAGGUGAAUCGGACGUGAUUUGAUAGGUUUCGGCAUCGCAUAUAGAAGUUUGAAAUACUAAAGUUCAUUAAUCUUGGAUUGGAGUGUGAUUCAUGGUUUUAUUGUUGUUUGAUAAAAUGUGAGGCCUCGACUAAGUCCGUGAUAUGUUUUGAGACUUGUUGGUAUGUUCGGACAGGGUCCCGAGGGGCUCGGGUGAGUUUCGCGGUGGUUUCGGACCAUUUCUAGACCAUUUUUAGAUGCUGGUUUUUUGGCUAGAGCAGUGUGCUAUGCGAUCGGGGGGAACUGGUCGCGAUCGCGAUGAGUAAAAUUGGAGAAAAUGGCCAGUGAUUCGCGAUCGCAGAAGGGCUUUCGCGAUCGCAUAGAGGAAAGUUUCUGCUGCACUGACCCGAUUUUGGAAGCUUGUAUCUCGCAAUCUAGAAGGAAUUUGGAGAUGAUCCAAAAACAAAAGUUGUAUCCCUUUGUGUCUAAUUUUCAGAAAAUCAAACCAUUUGGCAUUUGGAGUUGUUCACAAAAAGUUAUGAUUGGUACACUAUAGCCUAUCCAGGAAGAGUUUGGAAAUCGCGAAGAAGAAAUUUGUGUUGCACAUGGCUGAUUUUGGAAGCUUAUAUCUUGUAAUCUAUAAGGAAGUAUUAGAUGAGCAAAGCUUUAAAGUUAUAGUCCUUGGAUUCUAGUUUUCAAAAAGUUAAACCAUUUACAAUUUGGAAUUUCGUACAAAACGUUAUGGCCAUUAUACUAGAGACUGUCAGGAAGAACUGGGUAUUUUCCGUGAUCGCGAAGAGUAAAUACCUGGGCAGAAGCUAUAUUUCGAGGUUCAGCCAUUUUUAUCAUUUUUGGAGCUAUGGAGCUCGGAUUGAAGCAAUUUUUUAGGCGAUUUUCACCAUAUGGAUUGGGUUAAGUGUUCUAUAUCCGAAAGUAAUUAUACUUCAUGAUUCUAUAGUUUAUAUUCAUCUUUUAUUUCGCAUUUAAAUGGAAGAAAUUAUGAUUUUUGUAAAACUUUUCAAUAACGAAAAUUCAAGAUUUAGAGGUCAAGUUGUUAUCGGAAUUUGAUAAAAUUUGUAUGGUUGAACUCGUAUCGGAAUAUGUUUUCAGAUUUUGUGAGUUUUUUCGGAAUCCGGGCAAGUGGGCCCGAGGGCGAUUUUGUCAACUUUUUGAACGAAGUUAGGAAUUUAUCUAAAUUUAAUUGUUGUGAGUAUUAGAGCAUAUAUUAAUGGAUUUGCAUAAUUAUUGGCUAGUUUUGGAGCAUUGUGCAUCGAUUCGAGUCUUCAAAAGGGCGUGGAAUGCCGGUUAUGGAUCUUCGGAGUGAGGUGAGUCUCCUUUCUAACAUUGUAAGAGGGAAUUAUCCCCAUAGGUGAAUUAAUUGAAUAUGUGCUCUUAAUUGUAGGGGCUACGUAUGCACGAGGUGACGAAAGUCCGUGCGUAGCUACUAUUAUGCUUAUGUCCGGGUAGUUUAGGACCCAAAAAGCAUGCUUUACUUGUAAUAAUGGUAACCUUAUUGACAGUUUAAAUUGCUUUAAUUGCAUCAAAGUGGUAAAUGAUUUUCUAAAAGAGUUAAACUUCAUUUUCUCGGCUUGUAAAAGAGAAAUUCACACUUCCUUGAAUAAUUGUCUCCCUGAUGAAGGUUUGAUUGAAUGUUUGAAUGUGUGUUUCUAUGUGUACCUACGUUGCAUGCGUGAUUCGCGAGCGAGGUGAUUGUUUAUUUAUAUUUGACCGCAUAGCAUGUAUGAUUCGCGAGCGAGGUAAUAGAUGCAUCUAUGGUUCGCGCCGUUCGACCCUCGACAGUGCGCGUUUUACAUUUAAGUUGGAUCGGGCCGUACCACCUCGACAUGAUAUGCGCAUGCUUAUAGUGCUUGCCUGAGAAUUAUAAAUGUUGAUACUUGCCUUUUCUGGCCAGAGACAAAAAGAUAAAGAUAAUGAAAAGUAAAUCUUUGGAAAUCCUUUAUUAUUUGAGAAGUUGUUUACCUGUUUUUCGGCUUUGUGAGUUUAUUCUUGCUUUAUGACAUCCAUUAUUUUCUCACAUUUUUACUAUAUUAUCAUUGGACCACUAGUAAGUGUCGAAGUCGACCUCUCAUCUUUACUUCAUCUAGAUUAGAUGGGAUACUCACUAGGUACACGUUGUUUUAGUACUCAUACUACACUUCUUGUGCAUUUUUGUUGCACAGGUUCACGUGUGGCUAGUGGAUUAGUGGCAUUGCGGCAUGGUUGAUACGGAGACUUAGGUGAGCUGCAUUAUUCGAGAUGACCCGCAACCAGCAGAGUCUCCUUCAGAGUAUUGUAUUGUAUUUUUAUUUAUGUCCACUUUGUAUUCCGGACAGUUAUUGUGUUUUAUUUCAUUCCCUAGUAAAUGGUCAUGCACUCGUGACACCGGGUUCUUGGAUGAUUAUGGGGUAUCUUGUAUUUACUUCUUAACAUUAUAUUUAAUUUGAAAUGAAUACCUUUUACUAGUAAAAUUGAACGAAUAUCAUAGUUUUCAAAUUAUUAAAAUGAGAAUUUAAUUAAGUAUUUAUGGUUAGCUUGCCUGACAGCGAUGUCCGGCGCCAUCACGACCCUUAGUGGAUUUCGGGUCGUGACAACAUGGUAUCAGAGCACUAGGUUCCCUUAGCUCUCACGAGUCAUGAACAAUUCUAGUAUAGUCUCGCGGAUCGCUACGAAGACUUCUGUACUUAUCUUUGGGAGGCUACAUGGCUGUUAGGAGCACUUCCCUUCUUUAUUCCUCAUCGUGUGAUUUGAUUCCUUGGGGAUUAGCCCUUGUUUCCUUCCUACUCAACCUUACGUGACGCGAAUCGCUUGUUAUAAAUCGAGAAUUUAGGAAUUGUAAUGGUACUGCAAAUGCGGUGCGGGAUGUUAUUCCAGCAUAGUUGAUUGGGCUUUUGUUGUCACCUUGCAGAAGGAUAUUCUGUCAUUUUAGUUAGGUAGCUGCAUUUCUGAGAGCUUUGAGGCUAUGCACAGAUUGAUAUGAUUUCUCAUGAUUGGUUAUUGCACGGUAUUGACGUGGUGAUAGGAUUCUUGCGUAUGUACUGGGGAAGUAAACGACUUGAAAGGAGGUCUACUCAGUGCGUGAUUCAGAUAUUCAGUAUUUUAUUCUCAGCAAAGGAAGGGCAAUCGGACUAUGAAUGUUCAGGUUUGGGUUGAUAGAUGACGAGACUUGGUGUUUUCAAGUGUGACGAAAUUUUCAUCUGGGACAUGGUAUCAUCGUCCUGGAUUGUAUGUGUUAAGUUCACCGGUGUUAUAACCCUCUACGAUUCGCCUAUGUGGCGGGAUAUUGUGAAAUGAUAUAGGAGAAGCGACUGCCAAAGAUUGCGGUGUGUAGUGGUUCAGGAUUGAAUCGGUGUUUCUAAUGUUGAUGGCUCGAGAAAGAUGAUCUUUAGAAAGGUUUAAAGAUAGUAGCGAUUUGUGGGUUCAAGUGCUACGAAGAUAGAUUUUAUUUAAGGCAGCAACUGUGCAGCAAAGGAUGAGGAAGGUCAUGUGGGAGUGCUAGGCGAUGGUUAAAAUUUCUAGAAGGCCAAGUAUAAGAAGCGAAGGUUGAGUAGUUGAUUAAAGGAGUGAGUUAUGCCAAAGUGAGAGAGUGGCGGAGUUGCAUAUGGGUUUUGUGACAGGAUAACUACACAUCUUGAGGGAAAGUUUAGAGUGAAUUGGGAUUCAUAGUGGUCAGUGACUGGGUCUGCGAGCUCGAUUUGAAAUAUUGGCUAUCAUACGACGGGAAAUUGGGUGCAUAGAAAGGAGUUGCUUGAUAUGGAGAAGGAUACAACAUGACUUAGGAUUCAGAGUGUUUAUGAAAUGCUAACGGAAGGAUUUCGAGGAAUCGGGCAGUUUGAUUGCGCAAGGUCAUGUCAAUAAAAGAUAAAGAAUCUUGGUGGGUUCUAGAGUUGUGUAAUAGUGGCUUCAAGCUAAGUGGGAGAGUCCCACCGCCUACGGUUGGAUUGCAUGGUCGUCUAUUAGUGAGAUUUCUUGAUUUUAGCAUAUUGGUAGGCUAUUUCAGUUAAGGGAAUCGAGUAUAAGUGGUAAUUUGAGCAAAUGAAUUAUUAACGGUGUGUUGUGGUUGGCCUUAUUGACCCAUGUUUAGACUUGGGGGAAGGUUCAGGAUUAAUGCUUUGUAUAGAUGCGAGUUUCAAGGAAACUGAUUCGGCCGGGUGCUUCGUCAAGAGGGUGUUCAUAUGCUAGAAGAUUCAUGGAUUUGAUUAUAUUCGGUACCAAGUCAGAGUGAGUGGAUCUCAACAACGGCCCUAGGGAAUUCAAAUGAUUUAAAAAAAUGCGGCACCUAAGGAGUCAAGCCCGCAAAAUGGUUAAGAAUCGAGCUUUUGUAACAGCUUAUGAUAAGAGGCUCAGAAUGUUCUACGAUGCUUUUCACUUGCAGUGUAGCAUUUGGAGGAGUUAUCAUAAGACUUUGGAUUUGUAAAGGAGUUAUCAGAACGGGUGUAUCAGUUGAACAUGCGAAUGUGCGUGCAAGUAGUAUAUGAAACGAUUCAUAUGUUUGGAGACAGGGUGGUCUCAUGGAAUGGAGUCACUCAAGGUGAGUGCGGAUUCAGGUUGGCGAUGUAAGGUAUGGAGCUAUUAUUAUCUCUAAGGCAAGUUAAGGAUGAACUAGAAGAAGAUAGAUUGGUUAGCCAUGGUUGAAUCGGUGUAGUGAUGGCGAUGCGUGCGGGAUUCGACGGCUACCGUAAUUGAUUAUAUUUGGAAGUAUUCAAGUAUUAUAGCCUGUAUGUGCAGGCGGGUCCCGGAAAGGCUAUGGUGGCUUAGACCACUACUUAGAGAUUUGCAUAUUCUACGGUUAUGAGAAUUCACUUGUGUGUUGCUAUGUUUCUCCUGAAGUGAGUUAAGUGAAAAGUUUUUAUAUGAUGAAGUGUUAAUCUAUUAGUUCUUCUGGGGUUAUGAUGAAAAUCGUGUUAUAUCAUAUAUGGGCAUGUUGGGUGCAGGGAGUGGUAUGGAAUUUGAAGUGAGGAUCAAGGUUGCGAUUCGGUGUUGACAAGGAUGUCACGAGCUCGGAUGAGCAGGAAAGGAGUUUGGAUGUUUAAAGUAUGUUGGUAUUGUCCUCAGCGUCACCUGAGAACGGUGUUUUGUGAAAAAGUCUUUGCAUCCUGGUUAAGGAUUCUUGAUCGCUUUUCAGCAUUAGUGCGGGCGGUGGUUUGGAUGUACAAACAUGUUAUCUGUUACGAAAGGUCGUGGGAGCGUGCCCUACGGGAAGGUUGUAUAAGUGUGGCAUAUAAUCACAUGAUUGAUUGAAGAAUUAAACCAAGUAUGAAGAUUGUGGUGAUAUUGUUAAUUUGAGAAUUUAUGCCUGGAGGGCACUCAGUUUAUUGGGUUGUGGAGUGUGGAGGAUUACUCUAGUUAUGAUGGUUGUUCUUGUGUGUUAUGAGAAAAAGGGGGGUCAUUAUGGACCUUUGAAAGGUUAUUAGCCUAGUUUAGUGUGAUCAGAAUCAGCUUGAGGUCUGUGGAUGGAUUUAAAUGUGGAUAUGGGCUCUAUAUCAAGCCAGAUGUGUUCAUUUCAGCAAUCCACUCCCUAUGGAAGAGUAGUCGAGGUGUUAUUUCAUAGUCAGCUAUUUCAUGUAAUGAUAUAUUACGCCAUGUAAGUUGUGAGACGGCUUGGUGAAUUUCUUAUGUGAUAAGGUUACACGUAGAGAUGAUGUUAUAUGAGUAGGAUGGCUAUUGAGAUUCAGAUCGUAUAUCGCACCUCAGUUGUGCUUGAGUUUUGUAGCUUAUGGCGCUAUAUGUCUCACCAGGGAUGGUAUUAUGCACUUAGCAUGCUUGUGUUUGAUAAUUGAUAUUUUGUUGUAAUGAGAAAUUUAUCUCGAUGUAUAUCUCCUUAUGUGAAUUCUAUGUGUGGAUCAGGUGGCACGCCGCCAUGGGUAUGUUAUUUGGAUCAGGUUGCACGCCGCAACAGUGUAAUGUUGAGUACAGUUUUCUAUAUGCUAUUUUUGUGUGCCUUGUUUCCUAUUUUCUUAAGAAAGUCCAUAUUAGUGCGUAAGUUGAGUAGUCCCUUCCAGAGUUCGUUUUCCUUUUAUCAUAUUCGAGUUCAUAGCCUAUUGGCACAUUGUGGCAUCAUAUUAGACUUUUGACCCUGUCCGGGUGGCUUAUUGCCUGAGCAAUUCGUACUGGGUGAGACGAGAUCAUUGGAUUUAGGAUCAGUGCAAUCUGAUUAUAUGAAGUAUAUUGAGGAGAAAUGAUCAUUACUUGGUUCAAAAUGAGGUGACGGUUCUUGUCAGGAGUAUAGACCCAAUGAUUUGUUGACUCAGCCGUUGGUUAUAAGUUUUUACACACCUCUUCCAUCAUGGCAGUGUUGCAAGAGUUGGAACAAGACUUAUAUGUGUCAUGAGGUGUGUUGUGAGCGUCAGAUUUGUAGAAUUUCGGCGGUUAUUAUCAGAGGAUAUUAUUAUGGUCAUGUAGGUUAUGCAAUACAUAGUGUGGAUUCAGCAAAGGUAUGCAAUCAUGUAUGGGUGCCUCGUGUAGUGAUUGAUACAUUGUUCGUAUGUUGGAAGCGGGCCUGACAGAGAAUUCCGGAUGUUGAAAUUUGGCUCUAAGGCUUAUUUGCCUAAAUUAAAGAGAAUAUCUUCGGGUUUGAUCGAGCUAAUGUGCUCAACUGAGUUGUGGUAGCACGGGUAGGUGCACGAGGUGUUAAACAGUGAUUUCGGACAACUCCUGCGCAGUUUUUAGCACGUUCGAGGACGAACGUAUGUUUAAGUGGGAGAGAAUAUAAUGACCCGACCGGUCAUUUUGAGCUUUAGCGCGUUCUUCGGCAAUUUGAGGCCAUGAGAAGCUUCACUUCAGGCAUUAUGACUUGUAUGCAUGGUCGGAAUUGAAUUUCGGGAAGUUCGGAGUUGAUUUGGAAAGAAAAUUCUCAAUUCAGAAGCUUUAAGGUGAAAGAAUGGACUAAGAUUGGAUUUUUAAGUAAAUGACUUCGGAAUCGGGAUUCGAAGGUUCCAACAGGUUCGUAUUAUGAUUUCGGACUUGGGCGUAUGUUCGGAUCGGGUUUUGGAAGGCCCGAAAAUGUUUUGACACCUAUUGUAGAAGUUGGCAUUUUUGAAAGAAUUUCAUAAGUUUGGGUUGAAGUGCAUCUCAGUGUUAUCGAUGUCCGUUUGGGAUUCUGAGUCUGAGAAUAGCUCCGUAUGGUGAUUUUGGUAUUGGGAGUGCGAUCGGAAGUGAAUUCGGAGGUCCGUAGGUCAUUUUGGAGUCAUAUGGCUAAAGAUAGAAAUUUGAAGGCUUUUGAGGAGUUUGACCGGAAGUGGACUUUUUGAUAUCGGGCUCGGAUUCUGAUUCCGGAAGUUGGAUUAGGUCUGUAAUGUUGAAUAUGACUUGUGUGCAAAAUUUGAGGUCAAUCGGACGUGAUUUGAUAGGUUUCGGCAUCGAAUAUAGAAGUUUGAAAUUUUAAAGUUAAUUAAGUUUGGAUUGGAGUGCGAUUCAUGGUUUUAUCGUUGUUUGAUGUGAUUUGAGGCCUCAACUAAGUCUGUGAUACGUGUUGAGACUUGUUGGUAUGUUUGGACGGGGUCCCGAGGGGCUCGUGUGAGUUUCGGAGUGGUUUCGGACCAUUUCAAGACCAUUUUUAGUUGCUGAUUUUUGCUACAGCAGUGUGCUACAUGAUUGCGGGGAACUAGUCGCGAUCGCGAUGAGUAAAAUGGGAGAACUAGUCGCUACAAGACCAUUUUUAGCCCUUUGUGUCUAAUUUUCAGCAAAUGAAACCAAUUAGCAUUUGGAGUUGUGUACAAAAUGUUAUGAGUGGUACACUACAGCCUAUCCUGGAAGAGUUUGGAAAUCGCGAAGAAGAAAUUUGUGUUGCACAGGGCUAACUUUGGAAGCUUAUAUCUUGUAAUCUAUAAGGAAAUGGUAGAUUAGCAAAGCAUUAAAGUUAUAGUCCUUGGAGUCUAGUUUUCAAAAAGUUAAGCCAUUUGCAAUUUGGAAUUUUGUACAAAAGGUUAUGGACAUUAUACUAGAGACUGUCUGGAAGAGCUGGGCAUUUGUUUUUCGCGAUCGUGAGGCAUUUUCCGCGAUUGCGAAAGGCAAAUCUUGGGCUGAGAAAUGUUGUGCUUUGCGAUUGCAAAGCAUUUUCCGCGAUCGCGAAGAGUAAAUACCUGGGCAGAAGCUAUAUUUCGAGGUUUCAACCAUUUUUAUCACAUUUGGAGCUAUGGAGCUCGGAUUGAAGCGAUUAUGAGGAGAUUUUCAUCAUAUGGAUUUGGGUAAGUGUUCUAUAUCCGAAUGUAAUUAUAAUUCAUGAUUUUAUGGUUAUAUUCAUGUUUUAUUUCGGAUUUGAAUGGAAGAAAUCAAGAUUUUUUUAAAACUUUUCAAGAACGAAAAUUCAAGAUUUGGAGGUCAAGUUGUUAUCGAAAUUUGAUAAAAUUUGUAUAGUUGAACUCGUAUAAGAAUGGAUUUCCAUAUUUUGUGAGUUUUUUCGGAAUCCGGGUAUGUGGGCCCGAGGGCAAUUUUGUCAACUUUCUGAACAAAGUUAGAAAUUUAUCUAAAUUGAAAUGUUGUGAGUAUUAGAGCAUAUAUUAAUGGAUUUGCAUAAUUAUUGGCUAGUUUUGGAGCAUUGUGCAUCAAUUCGAGUCUUCGAAAGGGUGUGGAAUGCCGGUUAUGGAUAUUUCGGAGCGAGGUGAGUCUCCUUUCUAACCUUGUAAGAGGGAAUUAUCUCCAUAGGUGAAUUAAUUGAAUAUGUGAUCCUAAUUGUGGGGGCUACGUACACACGAGGUGACGAGAGUCCGUGCAUAGCUACUAUUAUGCUUAUGUCCAGGUAGUUUAGGACCCAAAAAACAUGCUUUACUUGUAAUAAUGAUAACCUUAUUGACAGUUUAAAUUGCUUUAAUUGAAUCAAAGUGGUAAAUGAUUUUCUAAAAGAGUUAAACUUCAUUUUCUCGGCUUGUAAAAGAGAAAUUGACACUUCCUUGAAUAAUUGUCUCCCUAAUGAAGUUUUGAUUGACUGUUUGAACGUGUUUUUUAUGUAUACCUGCGUCACAUAUAUGAUUCGCGAGCAGGGUGAUUGUUUAUUUAUAUUUGACCGCGUCGUACGUAUGAUUCGCGAGCGGGGUAAUAGAUGCAUCUAUGGUUUGCACCGUUCGACCCUCGGUAGUGCACAUUUUACAUUUAUAUUGGAUCGGGUCGUACGACCUUGACAUGAUAUUCACAUGCUUAUAUUGCUUGCCUGGGAAUUAUAAAUGUUGACACUUGCCUUUCCUGGCCAAAUACAAAAAGAUAAAGAUAAUGAAAAGUAAAUCUUUGGAAAUCCUUUAUUAUUUAAGAAGUUGUUUACUUGCUUUCCGGCUUUAUGAGUAUAUUCUUGCUUUAUAAAAUCCAUGAUUUUCUCACAUUUUUACUAUAUUAUCAUUGGACCACUAGUAAGUGUCGAAGUCGACCUCUCGUCUCUACUUCUUCGAGAUUAGACGAGAUACUCACUGGGUACACGUGGUUUUCGUACUCAUACGACACUUGUUGUGCAUUUUUGUUGCACAGGUUCACGUGUGGCUAAUGGAUUAGUGGCAUAGCGGCAUGGUUGAUACAGAGACUUUGGUGAGCUGCAUUAUNNNNNNNNNNNUUUUCAUUUCUGUCCACUUUGUAUUCCAGACAGUUACUGUGUUUUAUUUCAUUCCCUAGUAAAUGUUCAUGCACUCGUGACACCUGGUUCUGGGAUGAUUAUGGGGUAUCUUGUAUUUACUUCUUAACAUUAUAUUUAAUUUGAAAUGACUACAUUUUACUAGUAAAAUUGAAAAAAAAAUCAUAGUUUUCAAAUUAUUAAAAUGAGAAUUUAAUUAAGUAUUUAUGGUUGGCUUGCCUGACAGCGGUGUCCGGCGCCAUCACAACCCUUAGUGGAUUUCGGGUAGUGACAGUCUUAUCAUAAGCUUAUUUUAUUAUCUAACUACCCACUAAUUUUAAUUAACUUAUUAAUUUCCCCAUUAACCAAUAAUCAACCAAUUGCCCAUAUAAUUAAGGACUAUCUCUGUGAUGAUCCGACUGGUUGUUUUAAGAAUUUACGCCCGAUCACCUAUUAACUGCUUUCCCUGAGUUUAUUUUUGCUAUUUUGAUUUGCCUGGAUGUUCGGUUUUGAGUUGCGGAGAGUUUUGGGACACUAAGUCCCUAAAUGAGAGCUUAAAUGUUGGAAAGUUGACUGUAGUCCAAACAGUGUGAGGACGGCCUUGGAAUGGAAAUCUGAUGGUUCUGUUAGCUCUGUUGAGUGAUUUUGGGAUUAGAGGCAUGUUCGGAUCAUGUUUUGGAGGUCCGUAGCUAAUUUAGGCUUGAAAUGCCGAAAGUUGAAUUUUUAAAGUUUCCGGUUCAAUAUUGAGAUUUUGAUCCGAGGGUCGAAAUGGAAUUUCUGGAAGUUGGAGUAGCUCUGCAGUGUUGAAUGUUACCUUUGUGCAAAAGUUUAGGUUAUUCGGACGAGGUUUGAUAGACUUUUUGAUCAAAAGCAUAUUCAUAGAAUUUUUGGAGUUCUUAGGCUUGAAUCCGAUGAAAAAUAGGUGUUUUUGUGUUGUUUUGAGCAUUCCGAAGGUUGAAGCAAGUUUUAGUGAAGUUAUGAGAUAUGUCGGUAGGUUUGGUUGAGGUCCCGGGGGCCUCGAGUGUGUUUCGGAUGCUCAACGGACCAUUUUUGGACUUGGGAAAGAUUGCAGAUUAUCUACUGUUGUGUUGCAGAGAAAACAUUCAUCGCAUUUGCGAGAGGGUCUAGCGUUCACGUAGAACAUCUGGGUGAAGCAACUGAAUCGUGCUUCGCGUUCGCGAUGAUGUCCCGUGUUCGCGAAGGUGUGGACAAGUUGGUCUUCACGUUCGCGAUAUGGUCCUCACGUUUGCACAGGGUCUGCCAGUGUAAGCUAAGUGUUCGCGAGUGGACCUCGCGUUCGCGUUCGCGAAAGAGAAAGUUGGCCAAUAGGAUUUUUGUGCAUCGCGUUCGCGAAGAAGAACGCGUCUAGGCAGAAUAUAAAAUUUCAAAGUCGAGGGUUUAGCCAUUUUAGUGAAAAUUAAAUCUUGGGAGCUCGGAUUUGAGCGAGGUUUUGAGAUAUUUUCAGAGAUAUCGAUUGGGUAAUGAUUCUUAAAUACUUUUUGCUUUUAACCCAUUAAUCUAAACAUGAAUUCAUCAUUUAAUUUCGGAUUGGUGAUGAAAAUUUGGGUAAAGUUGGAAGAAAGUUCUUAGACCUAGAAUUCGACUUUAGAUUGGGAAUUUGACUUUGGAUUUGGAUAAUUUUGGUAUGCAUGAACUUGUGAGAGCGUGAGGAUUAUGAAAAUAUAAAUUUUACCCGAUUCCGAGAUGUGGGCCCGAGGGCAUUUUGGUCAUUUUACCUAAUUUUGCGUAUUUACUUAGAAUUUCUUUGUAAAAUUAGUUACUUGAAGUGUUAUUUACAUUAUGAAAUUGAAUUAAAUAGAUUUGGGCCACUUGGAGUCGAGUACUCGUGGCAAGAGGAUGGUUUCAGAUUGAUUUGAGUUGGAUCGAUGUAAGUGGCUUGUCUAACCUUGUGUGGGGGACCUUUCCCCUUAGGAUUUGGUAUAUUUGGUAAUUGAAAAGCCUUGUACAUGAGGUGACGAGUGCAUAGUUGUGCUAAUUGUUGGAAAUCAGGUUUUCAUUAAGUAAUUACUAGUAUGUUUCAUUUCCUGUUUUUAUUACUCUCACUAUUUAGCUUGUUAUUAGCUUAGGAAUACAUGUCUAAGUGUUUUAAUUUCUUUAUUUGCUCAAAUUGCCUUACCUGAAUUCUGUGCAGCAUGCUAGGCUAGAAUUACUUGUUGCCUUAAUAUGAAAUUUGCCAUUUCUAAAUAUUUUCCUGUUGUUGCUGUGUAUUUACAUUGAGACUACGGAUGUGGGAUUCCGGUAGAUCCCCCUUGUCUGUUUAUUUGGGUCUACGGAUGUGGGUUUCCGGUAGAUCCCCCUACACAGUUAUAUGGAACUACGGGACUACACCUGGUAGAUUCCCCUAGUAUUUGGUAUUUAUAUUUGGGACUACGGAUUAGGAUUCCGGUAGAUCCCUGCGCACUGAUAGUUAGACUACGAGACGGGAUCCCGGGAGAUCUACUGGAUAGAUGUAAUUGGGACUACAUGAUGGUAUCCUGGAAGGUACCCCGGUUGUUAUCUCUAUGUUGAGUUGUAUUUCCUUUCCGUGAUUAUUUUGCCUUUGUUCUAAUUGUUAUUGCUCUUUCUAUUCUAUGUUAUUUCUUACUAUUCCACUUAAUUAUACUGUCUUGUUUUACACUAUUAUACUUUGUGUUUUAUUUAACCUCAGUAGGGCCUUCACCGUCCUCAUCACUACCCAACCGAGGUUAGGCUUGGCACUUACUGAGUACCGUUGUGGUGUACUCAUGCCCUUUCUGAACAUGUUUUUCAUGUGCAGAUCCAAGUACCUUGACUCAUUCUUACCAUCCUUGAGGCGAGGCGACCGUUCAGAGACUUCGAGGUAUAUCUGCCGUGUCCGCAAAUCGAGGAAUCUCUCUCCACUUUCUCUCUUAUAGUUACCGCCCUUCUGUAUUUAUUUUGUUUUAGACUAUUAUAGAGCUAGAGCACUAUGUAGUGAUCCUUAGCUUGUGAUUCAUGGGUUUCCGGGUCUUGGAGAUAUGUAUUGGUUUAUGAGAGUUAAAUAUUGUGUAUGCCGAGCGGCACUUUUAAACACUGUCUUUUUACUCGAAUUCUAUUUUAAAUUGUUUACUUCCGCAAAUUGGUUUAUUUUCCGCAAUUUAGGCUUACCUAGUCGUAGGGACUAGGUGCCAUCACGAUGGUUCACGGAGGGCGAACCGAGGUCGUGACAAGUUGGUAUCAAAACUCUAGGUUCAUAGGAGUCAUGAAUAUAGCCGGUUUAUUCGAGUCUCACUGAUCGGUACAGAGAUGUCUAUACUUAUAUACGAGAGGCUAUGUAACUGUUAGGAAAAUUUCACUUCAUUUGAUUUCCUUAUUGUGCGAUAUUUUGACAUCACAAUUCUAAACUUCUGUCUUCUAUUCUCUCAUAGAUGGUGAGUACACGUGCUACCCGAGAUGAUCAGGCACACGCACCCCCUACUACAGCCGUUAGAAACUAGGGCCGGGGCCGGGAUAGAGGCCGAGGACGCGCACGUGGUGUAGCCAGAGCACCUGCAUGAGCUGUCACCGAGGUACCACCAGCAGUUCCAGCCGGAGUCCAGGCACCUGACAUGCCUACUGUUAUUACUACUCCAGCUCUUCAGAAGACUCUGGCACAGUUCAUGAGAAUGUACACCACUUUGCCUUAGGGAGGGUUGCUUUCCCUUGCUGCAACUACAUCUCAGGCCGGGGGAGGAGUACAGACUCCCGUUUCCCGCACUCCUAUGUAGCGAGUGUAUGUUGAGCAGGUCCCUGAGAUUAUUCCUGUACAGCCUGCAGUCCGAGAUCAGCCCGAGGACAGGGCAACGGCUUCUGAGAAGGAGUAGAUGAGGCUUGAGAGGUU
Molecule: long non-coding RNA, 24491 nt
Filed under: Nicotiana tabacum (common tobacco)
Lineage: Eukaryota; Viridiplantae; Streptophyta; Magnoliopsida; Solanales; Solanaceae
Description: long non-coding RNA (NTAB_LNC015788)
Source: RNAcentral